CUUAAUUUUAGGUGUUGGGUAUUUUGUCGCAGCAAUGAGAGAGAAGUAACCAAGACAAAAGGCUUCCAUUUGGGGUAUUAAGUACAUAGCUUCUGUUUGUGUUUAGGAAGUCUUUCGGAUGCUGACUGCCUUACAAUUGGGAAUGGUCAGGAGAAUAUAAACGGCCUUAGGAAAACAAAAGAAAAUUUGCUUCAAAUUGAGGAGAAAUAAAACAAAAGAAUUUGUGGAUGAAAUAGAGACAAUUUCAGGGUUCCUGUGAAAAGAACUUUGAAAUAUUCCUAUGGAAAUAAUCCUAAUUCACAUGAGAAGCAAGACCUGAUAGAAGUUUAUUCACUAUGCAGAUUCUGGAAUCCUUUUUUCAAGCUUUCAAUCUUUCAUUACUACACUCUGGCCCUGGAGGGACCCCACAGCCUUUAAGACUGAAAUUUAAUUCCCAUCUUCUACAAUGGGAUACCAUGAUGAAUAAGCAAUAUCUGGAAAUCAGUCACUGAAUUUUUCAGAAGAAAGAAAUGGCAAGAUUACUUCUCAUCACUACUCAUUUUCCCUACAGGAAGUAUUUAGCAAGAUUGAUUAAAAACAUUUGCAGAUCAAUUCAAGCUGCAGGUGGGGAAAAAUACUUCAGCUCCAUCAGGACAGAGGCUUUGAAUGUUCUACACUGGGGAAGGUCCACUUCCACCUGGAAUCACAGCCACCACCUCAGACUUCUACUGAAACACCAGUAACAGCAUUACCAAGAUAACAUGAAUAAAAGGGCAGAAAUGCUAAAGGACAUCUUACGAGUCAGAACCUGGGUCUCAU
This 798-nucleotide long non-coding RNA is filed under the name Chinchilla lanigera (long-tailed chinchilla). Its description in RNAcentral is "lncRNA (ENSCLAG00000026948.1)". The record is from RNAcentral. Lineage: Eukaryota; Metazoa; Chordata; Mammalia; Rodentia; Chinchillidae.